GACGAACGCUGGCGGCGUGCUUAACACAUGCAAGUCGAACGGAAAGGCCCUGCUUUUGUGGGGUUCUCGAGUGGCGAACGGGUGAGUAACACGUGAGUAACCUGCCCUUGACUUUGGGAUAACUUCAGGAAACUGGGGCUAAUACCGGAUAUGAGCUCCUGCUGCAUGGUGGGCGUUGGAAAGUUUCGGCGGUUGGGGAUGUUCUCGCGGCUUAUCAGCCUGUUGGUGUGGUAGUGGCUUACCAAGGCUUUGACGGGUAGCCUGCCUGGGAGGGUGACCGGCCACCUUGGGACUGAGGUAGGGACCAGAAUGCUACGGGAGGCAGCAGUGGGGAAUAUUGCACAAUGGGCGGAAGCCUGAUGCAGAAACGCCGCGUGCGGGAUGACGGCCUUCGGGUUGUAAACAGAUUUCGCAUGUGACGAAGCGUGAGUGACGGUAAUGGGUAAAGAAGCACCGGCUAACUACGUG
Molecule: ribosomal RNA, 468 nt
Filed under: uncultured bacterium
Lineage: Bacteria
Description: partial 16S ribosomal RNA
Rfam family: Bacterial small subunit ribosomal RNA
Source: RNAcentral